GAUGAACGCUGGCGGCGUGCCUAAUACAUGCAAGUCGAGCGGACGGACGAGAAGAUUGCUUCUCUGAUGUUAGCGGCGGGCGGGUGAUUAACACGUGGAUACCCUGCCUAUAGGGCUGGGAUAACUUCGGGUAACCGAAGCUAAUACCCGAUGAUAUUUUGAACCGCAGGGUUCAAAAGUGCAAGGCGGUCUUGCUGUCACUUAUAGAUGGAUCCGCGCUGCAUUAGGUAGUUGGUAGGGUAACGGCCUACCAAGGCGACGAUGUGUAGCCGGCCUGAGAGGACGACCAGCCACACUGGGACUGAGACACGGCCCAGACUCCUACGGGAGGCAGCAGUGGGGAAUUUUGGACAAUGGGCGCAAGCCUGAUCCAGCAAUGCCGCGUGCAGGACGAAGGCCUUCGGGUUGUAAAAUGCUUUUGUAUGGAACGAAAAGGCUCUGGCUAAUACCUGGGGCUCAUGACGGUACCGUAAGAAUAAGCACCGGCUAACUACGUG
This 497-nucleotide ribosomal RNA is filed under the name uncultured bacterium. RNAcentral's name for it is "partial 16S ribosomal RNA". It matches the Rfam family "Bacterial small subunit ribosomal RNA", at positions 28 to 507 of the family's 1533-position model. The record is from RNAcentral.